UCAUGUUUCUUACAUUCUUAUAUUCUAUCCUCCAUAUCAAUCCCAGAAAGAGGUUUGUUAUACAGUUCUGAAACAGUUAUUCACCUGCUUCCUUGGACUGUUCAUCACUGCCAUAAUAUUAUGUAUAAGGAACCCACUUAUCUUGGCUUGACUCCAGUGCUUAACCCAUGCAUGGUACUCUCCAUUCACUCCAAAACUUUCCAAGUAUGUCCAUUGCCCUGGUAGCUGUUUCCUUACCCUGACCUCUUCUAUUUUUGGUAACUUUUUAGACGUCACUCAUAACUCAGCUCAAAUGUCACCUUCUUCAAAAAUCUCUAUUUCUUAAUCUUCCUUGGAAGACCUAGGCUCCUAUUGCUUUGUGGCCCUUUCCACGCUCAGGACUCAUUAUCCAUUAAACUGCAGUUAUUUCUUUCCCAGACUCUAUCUCCUUCUAAAAAUAUAAUAUUUCUUGCUCAACUUUGUAUCUCCAGCAGCUGGUAAUGCAUCUACUGUUUCAUAAAAGUUUGUUUAAUGGAUAAGCAGAGAUUAACUACAUGAGUUAUUUGUCAGAUAUUGAUGCACAUUUAUUGUAAUGCCCAAACCAAAAGCAGAUUGAACUUACAUAAGCCAGGAAGUCACAUACUGACUUCAGCACAAAGGAAGUUUGAAUAUUUUCUUUGGAUACUAUCAGUGAUCUUUAAACAUGUUAGUUGAUUAAAUGUUAUUAUUUAAUGAAGUCAAUCUUGAUUCCAUAAUAUACUUAUUUUAUGCCCUUCAUAGCCUCUUUUAGACUCAUCAUCAAUGUCACUUAUCAUAGAAGGAAUAGAAAGAAUGUUUUUUUUUAAAUUUUUAUUCUAAAGUACAUCGGAUUUCUGACAAACCAAUGAACUUGAAGAGUAACAAUGUGUUUUUAUAUAUAAGAAUUUCCAGAGGGGACUAUUGAUUGCAGUCUAACAAACACAACAUUAUUUACCUUGGCAUCCAAAAUACAAUAUUCCCUUUUGAAGGUCAAUUAGAUUUGGGAAGAAAAAUCAACCCAAAACAUAUAUGGGUGAAUAAAAUGGUUAUCAAUCUAGACAGUCACAUCUUGCAUUAAAAAACGUCCAAAGUGACUAUAAAAUAAUGAAGCUAACUUCACUGAGUAGCUUGUGAACUAAUUCUGAAACAGCUUUGAAGACAAAUAAAUAUAACUGGCUUUUUAAAAAGAUGUUAAUUUGACUGUGAAGGUACUCAGUUUUAUAUUUUGUACCAUACGUAUUUAUUAAGUCCUUUAUCUAAUUCAUUCUUUCAUCCAAACCCACUGUGUGGCAAUCAUGAUCUAGUCUUUGGGAUUACAGCAGCACACACAACAAAUUUUAUGUACUCAUAAAACUGAGCACAUCUGGUGUUUGGAGAUAGGUAUCCAACAAAUACGUGAUUUGAAAAAUGGUUAUAAUUGCUAAGAUGAAAAACAAAUCAGGGUAAGAGGACAGAGGGUGAUGCAGGACCUCUGUGAUUAGAUGGCAUGGUGGAAGUGAAUGAAGUAAAGUAGCUGGCUUUGUGGAUAUCUGGAGAAAGAGCCUUCCGGGUAAAGGGGAUGGUAAGAACAAGGACCCUAGGCAGAAGUCCACUUGGCAUGUAUGAACAACAAAGUCUUUAUGACUGGAUUGAAGUGAUAAAAGGGAAGUUAUAAAGCUAUAAGGAAAUGAGGUUUGGGAGCUACCCUGGGGUUAGACAAUGUGGUGUCUCAUUUUGGAUUCUUUUCUGAGUGAAGUGAGAAAUUACUGGAGGGAUUUUAGAAGAGGAGUGACACGGUUUAACUUCUCUAUAUCUAACAGACUGUGGAGCAGUUAUUCAAAACUCGGAGGGAGUCGGCAUGGGAGGAUCCAUAUAAUUUCACGCUAAAUUGUGCACGUCUGUUUGUGAAAUGUGAAGGUGCACAUUUGUUUUCCUGGAAGGCAAAUUUCAUUUCUUAUACCACCUUGUCAGAAAGAUCUGUGAUCCCAAGGAACUGCUGUUGUAAAGAAACAAGGACAAGCAAUUUGAGGCAAGAAAUGAUGGUUCCAACGAGGGAGGGAGUAACCAUGGAUAUGCUGAAAUGCAGUUGGUUCCAGGAUUUAUUAGGACAUGAUUAGUUUGUAAUCAUCCCUAAGCUCCACUAAUCCAAUGACAAAAGUCUCAGCACGUACAAAAGAAUGAAAUUCCUCUUCAUUGUCCCAUUUGAACAAACCUGGAGAGAUUCUAAAGGACAGGAGCGGAUAUCAUCAAAGGUAAUGCAAAGGAUUCUAUAAGGACCAUGAGAGAGCCUUCCAUUUAAUCUUGAAAGUAGCAGAACCUCCUCAGGAAGUGGAACAACACAUUAAAGAGAUAGACUCUUAACCCAGAGAGCAAUUUCUAAGAAUAGACAUAGUUCCCAUUCAUUGAGUGUUUAUUAGAUGACAGGCACUUUGCUACUCAUUCCGAAUGCAUUUUCUCAUUUAAUGAUCUCAAUGAGUAUGCCCCUUUGGUACUAUGAUGAUCAUAUUGAAGAAACUGUGGCAUACACAGGUGAUUGUGCCCAAGGUCAUAUAACUGACAUAUUGGAAACUUAGGUAAUCAUAUCCAAAGACUGGCUUCCACCAACAUCCAUCCUUUUAAUCUUAGUUCUAUAGCAACAUGGAGUUAUAAUAUACAUCCUAAUCCAUUUAAUCAGCCUCACACUCGGAACCCAAAUCCCUUUUUGCAGCAUUCCAGACAUGUGCCUGUACUAGCCUAAACAGAGUUUAACAAACAUUCCUAGUGAUGGAGAGGUUGGAAUGAGAGAAAAAACAAACAGAAACAUGAAAAAAAAAAAAAAAAAACCACUGUUCUUAUUUCACACAUAAUAGUUCUCAUAGGAAUUUGAAAGAUGGAUAUCAUUACAGCCACUUUAUAAGUGAGGAAACUGAGGCUCAGAGAAGUUGAGGAGUCAGUUUUAGGUCAUUCUACCAAAAAUAAUGGAACUGGUUCUCAUUUGAUUCCAAAUCUGAAGUUCUUUCUUUUUUACCAGGUUACCUACCUCUGAAGAGACACUAGUAACAAGUCAUUGGUUCCAUUUUUGAAUAGUUAUGCAGCAAAAUUUCUUUAGAGUGAACAUUUUUCACAUUAGGGUCACUAAGGUAAGCAAGUAGAACUAACAUAUUCUUUGAAGCUUCCACAAGUUCGUCAUUGAUCUUCUGCUGGAAGCAACACAGUGUAAGUCUAAGCUUUCUUUGAAAUGAUAGACUUUCAAAUCUUUCAGGUGAGUUAUAUUUCUGUAGUAGCUAGGCUCUUUUUCAGGCCCCUCUUCUCUAGUUCUGCCCACAUUUACCCCCAGGUUUCUCAAAUAUUACUUAAAACUAUAGUUAUUUUAUUCUUACAUUAUUUAACACAAGCAACUAUAUUCCAUCUGAUCUGUGGCUUUGAAGAUAAAAAGGUCUAAGAGAGACAAUCUUCAGUGCUUCGUUAUCUAUGCUGCAUAUGGACAGAGUUCCAAGUCCUUUGCCAUUUCAGUUGUGUUCUCAGUGGCCUCUGGAUUGUCAAUGAUGUUCUUAAAAUGUGUUAUCCAGGACUGAGAAAACAGUACAUGAGACCUGACCUUGUGCUCAACUUAUAUUUCUAUUAAAAUAGUGGUUGAGCCUGUAGGCCAUGAAAUCAGAUGACUGGUUUCAAAUUCAGGCUCAGUUAUUUUCCAGCUAUCUGAUCUUAAGCAAGUUACUUGUUACUGCCUCAGUUUCUUCAUUUUAGAAGGAAUGAAAUGUGACUGUCUAUCUUAAGAAAUCAUUGUGAUGAUUAUAUGUUACCACCACAUGGACCCAUCUGUUCCAGUUUGUACUUGGAGCCUUUCCUUCUCUGCCAUUAUGAAGAAUGAAUGGUCCAAGGCUAAGCUUCCAUUUUUGGCUCCUUUUGUUAAUUCUGCCUUUUCUUCCUAACUCUAAAUGUUGAAAUACUUCUCCUUUUUCUUGACAUUGGACCUCAUCUCCAUUUUAUCUAUGCUCUCUUCCUUGGUGAAAUAAUACAGUCACCAAGGCCAUUAUAUACUAAUUACUCCAAAUCUAGGUCUCCCUCUUAGACCUCAAACUUCUGCAACUGCCAAUCAACCUCUCCACUUACACGUCUACAGGCAUUUCAAAAAUAACAUUUCCAAAACAGAGAUCUUUAGUUUAUCUCCAGAAGUAUUUUGUCUACAGUUUUCCUCAAGUCUGUUCUUUCAGUUCCUUGGGUCAAAAACCUUAUAAACAUACUGACUACUCUAUUUUUUUCACAACCCACAUCUAAACUAUGAGCAAAUCAAUCAGUGCACUAAUUUCUACCUCUCUCAAUAACUGUGUCCUUCUAUAAUGUGUUAAUUAUCUUUGUUUUAAUAAAUUCUAAAUCAUGCUUGCCUUAACCAUUCUAGAUGAAAUGCAAUUUUCAUUACCUAUCAUAUAGAAGUUGAAUAGUUCUGUUUUCUGACUCUGCUCGUUCAUAAUACACCACCUGAACUAAGUAAUGGGUAUAAUAUACCCAAAUACAUUUGGACUCUUCAAUAUGGUCCUAUUGAAGAGGCACAAAAGAAUUCAUUUGUGUGCUCCCUUUGCUAAUGGUAUUUUCAACGUUCAUUUAGAAAUGCAUUUAUAGUUAUUUUAUGAACAAUAUAAGAAAAAUUAGUUGUGUACAAGUUAUGCACCUAAUUUUUGACUAAAAAUGUUAUCCAUUAAUUUAUUUUUCUACUCUUACUUAUUUCCAAUAAUCACCUUCAGUGUAACAAUUUGCUACCACCUUGAAUAUUUAAACAAGUGGCCAAGAGUUCAAAGGGAAUUUCUACAGCAGGGUUGUGAACAUAUUUUAAGUGCAGCAGUACUGACAGACUAAGCAUAUAGCUUUCUGAGGGAAAUAUUGUGAAGAGACAACAUUCAUGUGUGUAUCUGUAGGUUGGCCCACAGUGAAAAAGUAUUAUCCAUAAUACUGCACACAUAUUUCUCAUAUCUCAAUGCACUUUAUACUCUUAGGAGGAAAUCCCCUACUCAUGGGCUGUUGAAGAACCUUAAUCAUUAGAAUUAAUAAUUUUCGUGCAAGUAGUUUUAUUUUCAUAUAAGGUUCCAGUUUCAUAUAAGGGGUUAACUUUCUCCUUAAAAUCUAGUAAACCUGACUACAUAAAAGCCAAAGCCAUCAGGGAGAUAGUGUUAAGAGUAGACACUUUCUAAGUUGAGAUUUAAAAAUAAGUAAAUAACCACUUACCAUUUGCUUAAUAUGUGCUAACUAUAGUGUGCAUUGUAGGAAAAAGAAAUACAAGGAACAGACUCUUUUAAAAAAGAUUACAGGGCUGGGGGUGAUGAUUCAUGCUUGUAAUCCCAGCAUCUGGGGAGGCCAAGGCAGAGGAUUGCUUGAGGCCAGGAGUUUGAGACAAGCCUGAGCAACAUAGGAAGACCUCAUUUCUAUUAGAAAGAAGAAAGAGAAGAAAGAGAGAAAGAAAGAAAGAAAGAGAGA
This 5424-nucleotide long non-coding RNA is filed under the name Homo sapiens (human). RNAcentral describes it as "HSALNT0319473". Lineage: Eukaryota; Metazoa; Chordata; Mammalia; Primates; Hominidae. The record is from RNAcentral.